ACGGAAGGCAGCAGUGGGGGAUAUUGCACAAUGGGGGAAACCCUGAUGCAGCGACGCCGCGUGAGUGAUGAAGUAUUUCGGUAUGUAAAGCUCUAUCAGCAGGGAAGAUAAUGACGGUACCUGACUAAGAAGCACCGGCUAAAUACGUGCCAGCAGCCGCGGUAAUACGUAUGGUGCAAGCGUUAUCCGGAUUUACUGGGUGUAAAGGGAGCGUAGGCGGCAUGGCAAGUCUGAUGUGAAAACCCAGAGCUCAACUCUGGGAUUGCAUUGGAAACUGUCAAGCUAGAGUGUCGGAGGGGUAAGUGGAAUUCCCAGUGUAGCGGUGAAAUGCGUAGAUAUUGGGAGGAACACCAGUGGCGAAGGCGGCUUACUGGACGAUUACUGACGCUGAGGCUCGAAAGCGUGGGGAGCAAACAGGAUUAGAUACCCUGGUA
Molecule: ribosomal RNA, 434 nt
Filed under: uncultured Pseudobutyrivibrio sp.
Lineage: Bacteria; Bacillati; Bacillota; Clostridia; Lachnospirales; Lachnospiraceae
Description: partial 16S ribosomal RNA
Rfam family: Bacterial small subunit ribosomal RNA
Source: RNAcentral